Molecule: long non-coding RNA, 1534 nt
Organism: Equus quagga
Lineage: Eukaryota; Metazoa; Chordata; Mammalia; Perissodactyla; Equidae
Exons: 4
Source: RefSeq, a predicted model, not a curated record
GAGCUGAAAGCAGGUCGCGAGCUGAAAGCUGUGAGGGACAAGCUGGGGGAUGGGCGGAGUUAGCGGAUUCCUCUUAAGUAGGACGGCCGACGAGAACUACUACUGACGGUGAAGCCCAGCUUAAUUUCUUUACCAGAGGGUUGCUUUCUGUCUCUUUUCACCCCAUACUAGGAAAUUGAAGUUGAAGAAAGUUUUUCUGUCAAAACUUCCAGGCCUGUACCUGUUCCGAGGAGCAGCCGGAUCUGUGAUGGAAGCCUUUUUAAAAAAUAGUUCAGUCAGCGAUGCUAGCUCAAAAAGCUGCCUCUGGAACGUACGGCAGCACGAAAUUUCUCCCUCAAGGAAACCAGCAGACCUAGUUGUCCGUGAAACCAUUGUCUCCCAAGGUUCCAAUUAGGAUGUGCCACGAUGCCAUCUAAUUUUCCUGAUCAACUCAUGCUCUAAUAAUCAAUGUGAAGAAAAGAGAGAAAACAUGUGAAUCUAAGCUCCUUGCCGGCCAGCCGGGCUUCAUCGAGCUCCCGCUCAGUAGAGGCCAGCUCUCUAGACAGUGCCCCUGGCACACUCUGCUCCCGGCUCACCCAGUCCAAUGCCAUUUGGUGGCGAAUAUCAUCAUCCAGGGCCCGGUGUGAAUAAUGAGCCAACACUUCCUGGAGGAGGAGAGGAAUGUGAAGGUCACUGACAAGCUAAACUUAAGAAUUCUGGAUAUUCUGGAAUAUAUUCACGAGCACCAGUAUGUACACGGAGAGGGAUAUCAAGGCCUCAGUAAGAUUUGAGGAACCUCAGAAGGAGGUUCCUUCUGAGCCACAAGAAUCCUGACCAGGUGUACUUGGUAGAUUAUGGCCUUGCUUAUCGGUAUUACCCAGAAGGAAUUCACAAAGAAUACAAAGAAGACCCCAAAAGAUGUCACAGUGGCACUAUUGAAUUCACGAGCGUCAAUGCACACCGUGGUGUGGGCCCGUUGAGACUUGGUGACUUGGAAAUACUAUGAUAAAUGAUCCAGUGGCUCAGUGGGCAUCUUCCUUGGGAGGAUAAUUUGAAAGAUCCUAACUAUGUUAGAGAUUCCAAAAUUAGAUACAGAGAAAAUAUUUCAGGUUUGAUGGACAGAUGUUUUCCUGAGAAAAACAAGUCAGAUGAAAUAGCUAAAUACAUGGAAACAGCGAAAUUACUGGACUGUGCCGAAAACCCUCUUUCUCAGAAUUUACAAGAUAUUCUUUUGCAAGGACCCAAAGCUAUAAAGGAAGUAAGGAUGAUGGUAAACUGGACUUCAGUGUUGUGGAGAAUGGAGGUUUGAAAGCCAAAACUAUAACAAAGAAGAGAAAGAAAGAAAUUGAGGAAAGCACAGAAUCUACUGUUGAAGAUAUGGAAUGCUCAAAUACACAGACAGAGGAGGCCACACAAACUUGUUCAAAAACCAGAAAGAGGGAGAAAAGAAAGUCUCUUCAACAAAUGGUGCUGGAAAAACUGAAAAGCCACAUGUAAAAGAAUGAAAAUUGACCAUUCUUUUUCACCAUUCACAAAAAUAAACUCGAAAUGGAUC